Molecule: non-coding RNA, 83 nt
Organism: Schistocephalus solidus
Lineage: Eukaryota; Metazoa; Platyhelminthes; Cestoda; Diphyllobothriidea; Diphyllobothriidae
Source: Rfam
GGCCUCAUAACUCAGUUGGCUAAAGUGUUGGCUGUACUAAAGCCUUGCCCUUGCUGUUGUGAGUUCGAAUCCCACCGAGGCCG